CUUGAUCGAGCCCAGCUUGAACGGCGUGUCCCGGUCCUGGCCGUACGUCGCCAGCAGCGCCUGGGCCUC
This 69-nucleotide antisense RNA is filed under the name Cryptosporangium arvum DSM 44712. Its description in RNAcentral is "ASpks TB sRNA". It matches the Rfam family "ASpks TB sRNA". The record is from Rfam by way of RNAcentral. Lineage: Bacteria; Bacillati; Actinomycetota; Actinomycetes; Cryptosporangiales; Cryptosporangiaceae.